GGAAUAUUGGGCAAUGGGGGAAACCCUGACCCAGCAACGCCGCGUGAGGGAAGAAGGCUUUCGAGUUGUAAACCUCUGUCCUAUGGGAAGAAGAAAGUGACUGUACCAUAGGAGGAAGCUCCGGCUAACUACGUGCCAGCAGCCGCGGUAAUACGUAGGGAGCAAGCGUUGUCCGGAAUUACUGGGCGUAAAGGGUGCGUAGGCGGCGCAGUUAGUCAGAAGUGAAAUAUCGGGGCUUAACCCCGGGGCUGCUUCUGAUACUGCUGUGCUCGAGUGCAGGAGAGGUAAGUGGAAUUCCUAGUGUAGCGGUGAAAUGCGUAGAUAUUAGGAGGAACACCAGUGGCGAAGGCGACUUACUGGACUGUAACUGACGCUGAGGCACGAAAGCGUGGGUAGCAAACA
RNAcentral lists this ribosomal RNA (402 nucleotides) under uncultured bacterium. RNAcentral's name for it is "bacterial SSU rRNA". It matches the Rfam family "Bacterial small subunit ribosomal RNA", at positions 358 to 774 of the family's 1533-position model. The record is from RNAcentral.